RNAcentral lists this ribosomal RNA (701 nucleotides) under uncultured bacterium. RNAcentral describes it as "bacterial SSU rRNA". It matches the Rfam family "Bacterial small subunit ribosomal RNA", at positions 28 to 718 of the family's 1533-position model. The record is from RNAcentral.
AAUGAACGCUGGCGGAGUGCUUAAUACAUGCAAGUCGUGCGAGAAAGUUUUCUUCGGAGAACGAGUAGAGCGGCGAACGGGUGAGUAACACGUAAAUAACCUGCCCUUAAGUUUGGGACAACCUUGCUAACGCGAGGCUAAUACCGGAUGUGAACAUUUGAACUCAUGUUCUUUUGUUUAAAGGCCCUUCGGGGUUGCUUAGGGAUGGAUUUGCGGACCAUUAGUUAGUUGGUGAGGUAAUGGCUUACCAAGACGAUGAUGGUUAGCCGACCUGAGAGGGUGAUCGGCCACAUUGGGACUGAGACACGGCCCAGACUCCUACGGGAGGCAGCAGUAGGGAAUCUUGCGCAAUGGACGAAAGUCUGACGCAGCAACUCCGCGUGGAGGAUGACGGUUUUCGGAUUGUAAACUCCUUUUAUUUGGGAAGAACAUACUUAUGGUAACAUAAGGAUUGACGGUACCAUUUGAAUAAGCAACGGCUAAAUACGUGCCAGCAGCCGCGGUAAUACGUAUGUUGCAAGCGUUAUUCGGAAUCACUGGGCGUAAAGAGUUCGUAGGCGGACUUUCAAGUCAGAAGUGAAAUUUUGGGGCUUAACCCCGAAACUGCUUUUGAAACUGAUUGUCUUGAGUAUGUGAGAGGUAGAUGGAAUUUCUGGUGUAGCGGUGGAAUGCGUAGAUAUCAGAAAGAACACCGGUGGCGA